ACAGAGGUCUCAAGCGUUGUUCGGAUUCAUUGGGCGUAAAGGGUGCGUAGGUGGCGCCAUAAGUCAGGUGUGAAAUCUCGGGGCUCAACCCCGAAACUGCACUUGAUACUGUGGUGCUCGAGUACUGGAGAGGAGAUUGGAAUUUACGGUGUAGCAGUGAAAUGCGUAGAUAUCGUAAGGAAGACCAGUGGCGAAGGCGAAUCUCUGGACAGUUACUGACACUGAGGCACGAAGGCCAGGGGAGCAAACG
This 250-nucleotide ribosomal RNA is filed under the name uncultured bacterium. RNAcentral describes it as "partial 16S ribosomal RNA". It matches the Rfam family "Bacterial small subunit ribosomal RNA", at positions 525 to 774 of the family's 1533-position model. The record is from RNAcentral.